AACGAACGCUGGCGGCAUGCCUAACACAUGCCAGUCGAACGAGACCUUCGGGUCUAGUGGCGCACGGGUGCGUAACGCGUGGGAACCUGCCCUUAGGUUCGGAAUAACUCCCCGAAAGGGGUGCUAAUACCGGAUAAUGUCUUCGGACCAAAGAUUUGUCGCCUUUGGAUGGGCCCGCGUUGGAUUCGCUAGUUGGUAGGGUAAAAGCCUACCAAGGCGACGAUCCAUAGCUGGUCUGAGAGGAUGAUCAGCCACACUGGGACUGAGACACGGCCCAGACUCCUACGGGAGGCAGCAGUGGGGAAUAUUGGACAAUGGGCGAAAGCCUGAUCCAGCAAUGCCGCGUGAGUGAUGAAGGCCUUAGGGUUGUAAAGCUCUUUUACCCGGGAUGAUAAUGACAGUACCGGGAGAAUAAGCUCCGGCUAACUCCGUG
RNAcentral lists this ribosomal RNA (433 nucleotides) under uncultured bacterium. RNAcentral describes it as "partial 16S ribosomal RNA". It matches the Rfam family "Bacterial small subunit ribosomal RNA", at positions 29 to 507 of the family's 1533-position model. The record is from RNAcentral.